UGCCCGAGUUGUAAUUUGGAGAGGGCAACUUUGGGGCCGUUCCUUGUCUAUGUUCCUUGGAACAGGACGUCAUAGAGGGUGAGAAUCCCGUGUGGCGAGGAGUGCGGUUCUUUGUAAAGUGCCUUCGAAGAGUCGAGUUGUUUGGGAAUGCAGCUCUAAGUGGGUGGUAAAUUCCAUCUAAAGCUAAAUAUUGGCGAGAGACCGAUAGCGAACAAGUACAGUGAUGGAAAGAUGAAAAGAACUUUGAAAAGAGAGUGAAAAAGUACGUGAAAUUGUUGAAAGGGAAGGGCAUUUGAUCAGACAUGGUGUUUUGUGCCCUCUGCUCCUUGUGGGUAGGGGAAUCUCGCAUUUCACUGGGCCAGCAUCAGUUUUGGUGGCAGGAUAAAUCCAUAGGAAUGUAGCUUGCCUCGGUAAGUAUUAUAGCCUGUGGGAAUACUGCCAGCUGGGACUGAGGACUGCGACGUAAGUCAAGGAUGCUG
Molecule: ribosomal RNA, 479 nt
Filed under: Saccharomyces cerevisiae (brewer's yeast)
Lineage: Eukaryota; Fungi; Ascomycota; Saccharomycetes; Saccharomycetales; Saccharomycetaceae
Description: eukaryotic LSU rRNA
Rfam family: Eukaryotic large subunit ribosomal RNA
Source: RNAcentral